This 253-nucleotide ribosomal RNA is filed under the name uncultured bacterium. Its description in RNAcentral is "partial 16S ribosomal RNA". It matches the Rfam family "Bacterial small subunit ribosomal RNA", at positions 524 to 776 of the family's 1533-position model. The record is from RNAcentral.
UACGUAGGUGGCAAGCGUUAUCCGGAUUUACUGGGUGUAAAGGGCGUGUAGGCGGGAGAGCAAGUCAGAUGUGAAAACCAUGGGCUCAACCUGUGGCCUGCAUUUGAAACUGUUUUUCUUGAGUACUGGAGAGGCAGACGGAAUUCCUAGUGUAGCGGUGUAAUGCGUAGAUAUUAGGAGGAACACCAGUGGCGAAGGCGGUCUGCUGGACAGCAACUGACGCUGAGGCUCGAAAGCGUGGGGAGCAAACAGG